UGGUGGAGUGAUUUGUCUGGUUAAUUGCGAUAACGAACGAGACCUUAACCUGCUAAAUAGCCAGGCUAGCUUUGGCUGGUCGCCGGCUUCUUAGAGGGACUAUCGGCUCAAGCCGAUGGAAGUUUGAGCAAUAACA
This 136-nucleotide ribosomal RNA is filed under the name uncultured eukaryote. RNAcentral's name for it is "partial 18S ribosomal RNA". It matches the Rfam family "Eukaryotic small subunit ribosomal RNA", at positions 1299 to 1458 of the family's 1831-position model. The record is from RNAcentral.